GACGAACGCUGGCGGCGUGCUUAACACAUGCAAGUCGAACGGAAAGGCCCUGCUUUUGUGGGGUGCUCGAGUGGCGAACGGGUGAGUAACACGUGAGUAACCUGCCCUUGACUUUGGGAUAACUUCAGGAAACUGGGGCUAAUACCGGAUAGGAGCUCUUGCUGCAUGUUGGGGGUUGGUAAGUUUCGGCGGUUGGGGAUGGACUCGCGGCUUAUCAGCUUGUUUGUGGGGUAGUGGCUUACCAAGGCUUUGACGGGUAGCCGGCCUGAGAGGGUGGCCGGGCACAUUGGGACUGAGAUACGGCCCAGACUCCUACGGGAGGCAGCAGUGGGAAAUAUUACACAAUGGGCGGAAGCCUGAUGCAGCAACGCCGCGUGCGGGAUGACGGCCUUCGGGUUGUAAACCGCUUUCGCCUGUGACGAAGCGUGAGUGACGGUAAUGGGUAAAGAAGCACCGGCUAACUACGUG
This 468-nucleotide ribosomal RNA is filed under the name uncultured bacterium. RNAcentral's name for it is "partial 16S ribosomal RNA". It matches the Rfam family "Bacterial small subunit ribosomal RNA", at positions 28 to 507 of the family's 1533-position model. The record is from RNAcentral.